GCCACAUCAUGUUUAAACACAGGUUCCUGUAUGAUCACCAAAGUUAAACAACAUUAGGCCUGAUCAGUACCUAGAUGGGUGACCACUUAGGAAUAUCAAGUGUUGUAAG
Acanthosepion pharaonis is the source of this 109-nucleotide non-coding RNA. NCBI's taxonomy places the organism in Eukaryota, Metazoa, Mollusca, Cephalopoda, Sepiida, Sepiidae. The record is from the annotation of a GenBank genome assembly.